Molecule: ribosomal RNA, 484 nt
Filed under: uncultured bacterium
Lineage: Bacteria
Description: partial 16S ribosomal RNA
Rfam family: Bacterial small subunit ribosomal RNA
Source: RNAcentral
AUUGAACGCUGGCGGCAGGCCUAACACAUGCAAGUCGAGCGGAUGAAGGGAGCUUGCUCCUGGAUUCAGCGGCGGACGGGUGAGUAAUGCCUAGGAAUCUGCCUGGUAGUGGGGGAUAACGUCCGGAAACGGGCGCUAAUACCGCAUACGUCCUGAGGGAGAAAGUGGGGGAUCUUCGGACCUCACGCUAUCAGAUGAGCCUAGGUCCGAUUAGCUAGUUGGUGGGGUAAAGGCCUACCAAGGCGACGAUCCGUAACUGGUCUGAGAGGAUGAUCAGUCACACUGGAACUGAGACACGGUCCAGACUCCCACGGGAGGCAGCAGUGGGGAAUAUUGGACAAUGGGCGAAAGCCUGAUCCAGCCAUGCCGCGUGUGUGAAGAAGGUCUUCGGAUUGUAAAGCACUUUAAGUUGGGAGGAAGGGCAGUAAGUUAAUACCUUGCUGUUUUGACGUUACCAACAGAAUAAGCACCGGCUAACUUCGUG